CCUACGGGGGGCUGCAGUGGGGAAUAUUGGACAAUGGGGGCAACCCUGAUCCAGCCAUGCCGCGUGAAUGAUGAAGGCCUUCGGGUUGUAAAGUUCUUUUGACGGGGAGGCGGUACCCGUAGAAUAAGCUCCGGCUAACUUCGUGCCAGCAGCCGCGGUAAUACGAAGGGAGCUAGCGUUGUUCGGAAUUACUGGGCGUAAAGGGCGCGUAGGCGGCUCGACAAGUUGGAUGUGAAAGCCCUGGGCUCAACCCGGGAAUUGCAUUCAAGACUGUCUUGCUUGAAUUCGGUAGAGGUUGGUGGAAUUCCCAGUGUAGAGGUGAAAUUCGUAGAGAUUGGGAAGAACACCCGUGGCGAAGGCGGCCAACUGGACCGAAUGACGCUGAGGCGCGAAAGCGUGGGGAUCAAACAGGAUUAGAUACCCUUGUAGUC
RNAcentral lists this ribosomal RNA (431 nucleotides) under uncultured bacterium. Its description in RNAcentral is "partial 16S ribosomal RNA". It matches the Rfam family "Bacterial small subunit ribosomal RNA", at positions 338 to 795 of the family's 1533-position model. The record is from RNAcentral.